This is a long non-coding RNA of Alosa sapidissima (American shad), 165 nucleotides long. RefSeq lists it as uncharacterized. Lineage: Eukaryota; Metazoa; Chordata; Actinopteri; Clupeiformes; Clupeidae. The transcript has 3 exons. The record is from RefSeq and is a predicted model, not a curated record.
CGAAGCCUUCGGAGCUCACCAAAACAGACAAAAAAAAGUCUGUAUAGAAAGGAUAUUACAGCUCCUUACAACAAUUGUGAUCCUCAAAAAAAGCAAACAGACUGAACUGCGUUUGCCAAACGGUGCUUUAUGCCUGGAGUGUUGGCGUCGGAAAGAGUCACGGCG